GACGAACGCUGGCGGCGUGCUUAACACAUGCAAGUCGAACGGAAAGGCCCCUUUGGGGGUACUCGAGUGGCGAACGGGUGAGUAACACGUGAGUAACCUGCCCUUGACUUAGGGAUAACUUCAGGAAACUGGGGCUAAUACCGGAUAGGAAUCCUUGCUGCAUGGUGGGGGUUGGAAAGCUUCGGCGGUUUUGGAUGGACUCGCGGCUUAUCAGCUUGUUGGUGGGGUAGUGGCUUACCAAGGCUUUGACGGGUAGCCGGCCUGAGAGGGCGACCGGCCACAUUGGGACUGAGAUACGGCCCAGACUCCUACGGGAGGCAGCAGUGGGGAAUAUUGCACAAUGGGCGGAAGCCUGAUGCAGCAACGCCGCGUGCGGGAUGACGGCCUUCGGGUUGUAAACCGCUUUCAGCAGGGGCGAAGCUUUUGUGACGGUACCUGCAGAAGAAGCACCGGCUAACUACGUG
Molecule: ribosomal RNA, 464 nt
Filed under: uncultured bacterium
Lineage: Bacteria
Description: partial 16S ribosomal RNA
Rfam family: Bacterial small subunit ribosomal RNA
Source: RNAcentral